CCGGAGUCCAGCAGCCUCCUUCAAAGAGACGGGAAGCUGAGGCCAGAGAGCUAAGCUGGAAGGCGAUGAACGAGAAGGCGACCACAGCUGGGUCAGGAGGCUUAGCAGCGGAUGUUGACCGGGACCCCGUCAGAGUGUACACUCACUUCUGGUCAAUCAAAGAAUGUGCACAGAGAAAGGCUGGCAUCCUCUAGGCAGAUUUCCAGAGAGUGCUCCAGCUUGCUGGCACGAGGGAAGGAUCUGGCUGCGCAGAAGAGGCAAGUUGUGAUGAUGAAACCCACUAUUGAGGAACAUUGGCAAGCAUGAUACUGGUGGGAACCAUGUGCUUGGAGAGGUACUAAGGGUGCGGGGUAAGGAAAAGGACCCCGGAGAGGGGGGGGGCACACCUCCACUUCCAGGGUAGAGUCCAAGUCCUGGGCCCUCCCCUUGCCAGACUUGCCUCCCACGCCUCCCCAAACAGCAUUCCCAGUCCUCAACUCACAGCUCUUUGCUGAUACCCCAAAUGCGGUGCUAUUGCAUGCUUCCAGCUUUCUGCCUGAAAUACUCUUAACGCUCUUCUCUGGCCACCUCAUCCUCUGAGAGCCAUGUACUGUCAUCUCCUCCUGGAAGCCCUCCCUGACUGACCCUACCCCAGGUGAGUUUCUCACUGCAGGGGGGGGUGGGGUGGGCACUAACAUAGGCACCAAUCCCACACUCGUGUCACCAAUCCCAUACUUGUUUCCACAUCUAGGCUCUGAGCUCCUUGAGAGCCAUGUCCUCUCAUUUUUAUGUUCUCAGAGCCUGGACCAAUGGCUGGCAUACACAGGCCCUUGGUGAAUGAAAGAUAGGGAGCCAGCCAUGCUCUGGGAUCAUGGGAGGUGCUUGUGUGGAGAAACUCAGACCACCAGUGGCCACCCAGCCCCUCCUGCGAGCCACCUUCCAGAGUGGAGGGCUGUGUGGCCCGAGGGGACAGAGGCAGAAGAGAUGGCUCCCUCCCUGGGCCUAGGGAAAGUGCUGAUUGAAGAUGGACGAAAAGCUGGCCCCAUCAGGAACAAAGCAGUGGCCUCAGCCCCUGGGAGGAAGACAGGAUUCCAGGGCCAGAAACCCACACCUCCCUGCCCUGAACUACCCAGGAGGUGACUAAAGGGGCCUCCCCUUAGCCCGACUUGUCAACUUCCUCUGAUGUUUUGGGCAAUGGCGUCAUCGUAACUGGGUAGCGUGUGUGCAGCUGUGUGACGAGUGACGUCAUCCACAAUAGAACUGGUUUUUUUCUCCUUCUACCUCUUAGAGAAAGCUGCUAAAAAUACACCUGGUAUCCUGGACCCCUCUGCUUUGCCUCUAAUAAUCGUCAGGGACCAGAGGCUGCACUGCACUUGACAGAAGUAGAUCAUUUAUAAAACAUUAGCAUUUCUCGUUCUGACAUUUCCCUUCCAUAUUACAGGACUUACUAAGUGUUUUUAAAAAAAUUUUAUAAAGUGCUUGGACUCUUGAUCUUCCCACUGAGGGCUUUACUGUCUAAAGUUGGAAAUUAAAUCAACAACCCGACAACAUCCUCAGGUUCUAAGGGAGAGCCAGGCCGGGGUACUGGACUGGGUAAGAGCAGAAAGGCCAUAAGAGAUAAACUGCAAGCUAAAGACGAUUUGUUCUGCCCUCCCCCAACUCCCAUUAGUGUCAUUUUAAGCCGUGUGCAGAGGUGGAUUUGUCCAUACCUGACA
Long non-coding RNA from Hipposideros armiger (great roundleaf bat), 1694 nucleotides. RefSeq lists it as uncharacterized. The record is from RefSeq and is a predicted model, not a curated record. NCBI's taxonomy places the organism in Eukaryota, Metazoa, Chordata, Mammalia, Chiroptera, Hipposideridae. The transcript is spliced from 3 exons.